AGAAUCAACGCUGGCGGCGUGCCUAACACAUGCAAGUCGCACGAGAAAGGGGAGCAAUCCCUGAGUACAGUGGCGCACGGGUGAGUAACACGUGAAUAAUCUACCUCCGAGUGGGGAAUAAACUGAGAGAAAUCUUAGCUAAUACCGCAUAACACUUACGAGUCAAAGCAGCAAUGCGCUUGGAGAGGAGUUCGCGGCCGAUUAGUUAGUUGGCGGGUAAUGGCCCACCAAGACGAUGAUCGGUAU
Molecule: ribosomal RNA, 246 nt
Filed under: uncultured bacterium
Lineage: Bacteria
Description: partial small subunit ribosomal RNA
Rfam family: Bacterial small subunit ribosomal RNA
Source: RNAcentral